GUGCCAGCCGCCGCGGUAAUACCGGUAGCCCGAGUGAUGGCCGAUCUUAUUGGGCCUAAAGCGUCCGUAGCUGGCUGCGCAAGUCCGUCGGGAAAUCCACUCGCUCAACGAGUGGGCGUCCGACGGAAACUGCACAGCUUGGGACCGGAAGGCUCGAAGGGUACGUUCGGGGUAGGAGUGAAAUCCCAUAAUCCCGCACGGACCACCGAUGGCGAAAGCACUUCGAGAAAACGAAUCUAACAGUGGGGGACGAAGGCCGGGGUCUCCAACCGAAUUAGAAACCCUGUAGUCC
This 292-nucleotide ribosomal RNA is filed under the name uncultured bacterium. RNAcentral's name for it is "partial 16S ribosomal RNA". It matches the Rfam family "Archaeal small subunit ribosomal RNA", at positions 455 to 747 of the family's 1478-position model. The record is from RNAcentral.